Molecule: ribosomal RNA, 301 nt
Filed under: uncultured bacterium
Lineage: Bacteria
Description: partial 16S ribosomal RNA
Rfam family: Bacterial small subunit ribosomal RNA
Source: RNAcentral
CAGCCGCCGCGGGAAUACGGAGGGGGCUAGCGUUGUUCGGAAUUACUGGGCGUAAAGCGCACGUAGGCGGCUUGGUAAGUUAGAGGUGAAAGCCUGGAGCUCAACUCCAGAAUUGCCUUUAAGACUGCCGAGCUAGUAGGUGAGAGAGGUAAGUGGAAUUCCGAGUGUAGAGGUGAAAUUCGUAGAUAUUCGGAAGAACACCAGUGGCGAAGGCGGCUUACUGGCUCAUUCUAGACGCUGAGGUGCGAAAGCGUGGGGAGCAAACAGGAUUAGAUACCCCGGUAGUCCCUGUCUCUUAUAC